Molecule: small RNA, 298 nt
Filed under: Jaculus jaculus (lesser Egyptian jerboa)
Lineage: Eukaryota; Metazoa; Chordata; Mammalia; Rodentia; Dipodidae
Description: 7SK RNA (ENSJJAG00000002837.1)
Rfam family: 7SK RNA
About the family: 7SK was discovered as an abundant small nuclear RNA in the mid-70s but a possible function has only recently been suggested. Two independent studies have found that 7SK RNA binds the CDK9/cyclin T complex (known as elongation factor P-TEFb). P-TEFb activates transcription by phosphorylating the C-terminal domain of RNA polymerase II.
Source: Rfam by way of RNAcentral
AGACGUGAGGGUGAUCCGGCUGUGACAUCUGUCACCCCACUGAUGGCCAGGCUUGAUUCAGCUCAUCUGUCUGGCUAGGUGGAUGUCUACUUCCUUCCUCACCACUCCAUGCACAUCCCUCCUGAAGCUUCCCACUUGACUGAAGAGGAUGACCUUCCCCAAAUAGAGGAAGAGCAGUCUUUGGUCAAGGAUAUACAAAUCAUUGUGCUCCCCUGCUAGAACCUCCAAACAAAAGAGAUCUUGACUUUAGCUUUCAAUCUGAUAUCUGUCUGGUUUUGGUCUCAGGAUACUAUUGUGC